This 492-nucleotide ribosomal RNA is filed under the name uncultured bacterium. Its description in RNAcentral is "partial 16S ribosomal RNA". It matches the Rfam family "Bacterial small subunit ribosomal RNA", at positions 29 to 507 of the family's 1533-position model. The record is from RNAcentral.
AGUGAACGCUGGCGGUAGGCCUAACACAUGCCAGUCGAACGGCAGCACAGUAAGAGCUUGCUCUUACGGGUGGCGAGUGGCGGACGGGUGAGGAAUACAUCGGAAUCUACUUUUUCGUGGGGGAUAACGUAGGGAAACUUACGCUAAUACCGCAUACGACCUACGGGUGAAAGCAGGGGAUCUUCGGACCUUGCGCGAUUGAAUGAGCCGAUGUCGGAUUAGCUAGUUGGCGGGGUAAAGGCCCACCAAGGCGCCGAUCCGUAGCUGGUCUGAGAGGAUGAUCAGCCACACUGGAACUGAGACACGGUCCAGACUCCUACGGGAGGCAGCAGUGGGGAAUAUUGGACAAUGGGCGCAAGCCUGAUCCAGCCAUACCGCGUGGGUGAAGAAGGCCUUCGGGUUGUAAAGCCCUUUUGUUGGGAAAGAAAAGCAGCAGGUUAAUACCCCGCUGUUCUGACGGUACCCAAAGAAUAAGCACCGGCUAACUUCGUG